Molecule: non-coding RNA, 5818 nt
Organism: Globicephala melas (long-finned pilot whale)
Lineage: Eukaryota; Metazoa; Chordata; Mammalia; Artiodactyla; Delphinidae
Source: RefSeq, a predicted model, not a curated record
AAAAUGAUAUUUUUUAAUCCCUGAUUUGUGCAUUUGAACAAUUUGUAAACGUGUCGAGUCCUCAGGAGGGAACUAACUCAAGCCUCUUGUUCUGCAGCUGAGGCUCGCUGCCCCCGGUGGGCAGUGAGUCGGUGCGUUCCUGAGGCCAGGGUGUGGCCCAGCCCUGGCCCCCAGAGGAGUGCCAGGGGAGUGUGAGGCCCUCCUAGGCUGACCUUGAAGCAGGCCAGCCUUUCUGAGGAACGAACGUCUUCAGGUGGAAUUACCUCGGUCCGGAGGCAGAUACAGCCUGUUUCUCUUCACUCAAGAAUGUGCUUGGAGAUCAUAAAAGAUAAACACCAUUCCUUAUCACAACACCUUAGUCGCCUGUAAUCUGUACACACUGAAGUUGAGUUCACCACCUUGUUGCUGUCACUAAAGCUCCGGCGGGGCUGGCUUGUGGAAGCAGGUUGCCCUUGGCUCCCAUGUCGCCUGGAUCCAACUUCCCCUAACUGAAAACCGCCUCAUACUCCCCCGGGCCCAUGGCAGCUUCAGAGGACUGAGCCGUAUGCUCUGUGGCGCUGGAGCCUGGGUUUUUCCUCUGUGAAGUGGAGAUGAGAGGGGCCCCCACACCGGCUCGAAGGGAGGCUAAAUGAGAUAAGAGUAGCCCAACACACAUCAGAGAGUUCAUCAGUGCUCGUGGCGUAGACCCGGAGAGGAUGCACGCGUGUAAAGUGUCGCAGGAAAGAAGACAGUCUGGCCUUUGGAGACCCCUCUCCGAAUACAAACAGGAACCUCACCAGGCAGAGACCCCUCUGCCGGCUCCACCGCACACAUCACGUCAGCCAGAGGAAGCCUCUGGCCUGUGAGCUCACAGUAGAUGCAGAAGGCGGCAGCAAAGACGUGCGAGCCCACAUCUGCCUUUAAUAGAGCAAGAAUUCGCACUUCUGCAGCAGCACGAGGGGACCCUGGGGACUGUUGUGGGGAUCAAACGAGAUAAUGUAUGCGAAGGCAUGCUGUGAAUUCUGCGUGCCCAGGGCAGGAGAAUGGAGGCCCCAGAGUGGGUCUAAUGACCCUCUGUCGAUGAAGAUCUUGGCUGUGACUUCUGUGGGAAAUGAGCCAUGGACCAACCGACGUGAGUGAUGAAUGAACGCACUAGAGCUGAUCACCCAUCCUUAGCUGAUGAAGGGCUUACCUCUGUGGGUAAGGAGCAUGGAGGCCGAUAUUCAAUAUACCCCAAUCUGAUUUAUUCAUUACCAAUGAUGAAGAUCUUGGCUGUCACUUCUGUGGAUGAAAAGCAAAGGGACUCAUAGUGAACACAGGACAGCUGAUUUAAUCAUUUAAUAAAGAAUUGUUAUCGCAAGCAAGGAGCAUAAAGUCUAAUAUAAAAUGAACAACUCUACCGUAUUUGAUUAUUAGCCCAUGGCAAAGAUCUUGAGUUUUACCUCUUUGGAUAAAGAGAGAAGAGAUCUGUUCGUUGUCCAAUGAUGAAGACCUUAGCUGUUACUUCUGUAGGUAAGGAGCAAUGAUGAAGACCAUGGCUGCUUUCAUCAGUCUGUUUUGAGGAAGAUCUUGACUGUUACCUUUGUGGAAUGGAUGCACAACGAUUCAAUUAAGGACUAUAGAAACUUACGUAAGUAGCAGUCAAAGUAAUUGCUUCUGGUUUGGUGGUUUGUCAUGGGUGUUAACUCUGUUAUUGGAAGGGAAUAAAUGGCUACAUGUACAAAUUAAAUGAAUGGAGAUCAUGUGUGGGCCAAUUCAGUACAUCUGUGGUCAAUUAAGGAGAAAAAAGAAAGACCAUUUUAUUUAUUUUCACAGUUAAUUAUUCAAUUAAUUAAUUAAUGUACAAUGUAUUAUCAAUUUUAAUUUGAGUCACAGUUGAUUUAAACCUCCCUCUAUAAAGACAUGGUUUUGUCACAUUCAAACAGUAAAAUGGGGUCAAUAUAAAGUAUUGUAUUAAUUAAUCUAUAUAGAAAACAUUGUGGCCAAUUAAUGAAAUAUAUAUAUAUUGUCAGUGGGAAGUAAUCUAUAGAGAAAUGUUAGAGAUAUUCAAGGAUCUUGUUUCAAGUUUUUAUGACCUCCAGGCAUUUAUUUUAUUAUUAUUAGUGAAUUGAUGACUUAAUCAAUAAAAACAUGCAGACAUGAUUGAAGGUAAUGAGGGCCAAUCCUGGACCAAUGGUGAUGCUGGUGGGGUGUGAGUCAUGGAUGAUGAGUACUUGUCUGGAACUCUGAGGUCCAACCCAGUAAGAAAUCUAAUCUAUACCAUACGUCCGUUAGAAAUUAUCCUGUGGACAUGUGUUAGUAAUAUUCAAGGAUCUUGUUCUUAGUUUUUGUUAUGGAAUUUGACUCUGUUAUUACAGGUGGAUCAAUGAAAGAAUCAAUCAGUAAAUACAGUUGACCCUUGAACAACGUGGUGUAACCCCACGCAGUCGAAAGUCCUUGUAAGGCUAUCUCUGCUUUAGAAGCAAAGGAAUUGAUAAAUGACUCACCCAAGGCCAGGAAUCAUAAAUAGUUUGGAUAGAAUCAGGACUCAAACCCUGGUUCUUUUGAUACCGCAUGUUGUGAUCUCUAAUCAAACACAAAUUUUUCCCACACUUAGUUAAUUUAAAGAUCCCUAAAAUGAAAAUACAGGUACUAUAUUUAUUGAAAAAAAUCCAUGUACAAAUGGACCCAUGCAGUUCAAACCCGUGUUGUUCAAGGGUCAACUGUAUACAAAUAAAUAAAGAGGGUGAAGCAUUAUCCAAUUAUGAUAAUGUCAUGAAGUAAGAGAAUCUGUUAAUAUAUGUUAAAAACACUGAUUCAAUUAAGAAGGACAUGAUUUUAUGAUAUUUCUUUGGCUAAUGGUUCUAUAGAAAGUACAAGUAAUAAUUAUUAUUCCUAUUCUGGCUCAGUGGCAAGUUUGAUGUUUUUUUGAGGGAAAUAUCAAUAAAUAUUACCCCCAAUUAAUGAAUACCUAAAUUACUGAUGUAAUCAAAGGUGAAAUACAAGGAUUAAUGAAGAUAAUAUCUCAGUUGUUUUUUUUUUUAAUCUUCUCUGCUUUGUACUUCUUAGAGUGGGCGCACCAAGCCAACUUAAACGUCUUGCAUGAUCGUGAGCUCUAAGUCAUGGAUACAUUGGAGCUGAUUUAAGGAUUCAUCUAAGGUCACAAGAUGUCUGAUUGUCUCUGUGUUUGGCACGUAGAAACAAAUAAUGGACGCACGCUAGUGGAUUUAAGCAUCUUUCAUGGUCACGUGCUCUAUAGACCAAUGUGAGUAAUGCAGUAAGCAAAUUCAUGUCUUUGAGAGCUUCUCUUUUUCCUCAGAUAUUCACUGUAUUGUUAAAAGUGUGGAAUAGAAUUAAUAUUAGUAAUAAUGAGUUAAUCAAUGAACUUAUGCAGAUGAGAAUGAAGAAAUAGAGGCCCAUGUAUGGACCAAUGAUGAUGACUGAUAUCAUGUGAGUCAUGGAUGAUGAAUACUACAUGUCUGAAACUCAGGUUCAGUAAAUAAAAGAAAUAUAAUCUGUUGCCUCUAUUUGGUAUUACACCAUAGACAAAUAUUAGGAAAAUAAAAGAGCAAUUUUCUUGUUUUGUGUUCAUGAAUUUUGAUUUUACUUUAAAAAAAUAGCCCAAAGAAAUAAGUGUAAGUAUAAAUAAGUUAAGAUGAAGAGGUUGAAGCAUAUUCACUCUUAAUAUAUGUGGUAAGGCAAUAAAAACUAUUAAUAUUGAUUGAAAAUACUGAAGUUCAUUUGGAAAUGUAAAUGGUGCAAAUGUCAUACCUCUUUGGCUAAGAAUGGUCUAGAAAAUGAAUAACAGUCGAAGUUCUUAUUCUAUGGUAGUACCAGGUUUGAUAUUGUUCUUUUUUCUAAGAGAAAAAUAAGAAAUAUGACCUGAAUUUAUGAUAUUCCUAAAUGACUGACUAGAUGAAGGUGGAAUGUGUGGAUCAAUAACGAGUAUCUCAAUGUUGUUAUUAUCUCUCCUGCUUUUUACGACUCAGAAUGGAUACACUGGAACCUAUUUACGUAUUUGGCCAUGAUCAGGACCUCCAUGGAUGGCCCUGUGUGUAAGAUCAUGAAGACCAAUGUGAACAACAGAUUCCUCUCAUGGUUUAGGUGGUUUGUCUAGGAUAUUCAGUGUAAUACUAAAAAUUAUUAAAUAUAUUCAAAGAUGGCCAAACAUGGCUUAAUGAUUACCAUGGAAUUGACAUGAAACUUUGUGUUGAUUAAUCGAUAUUUGCCACAAUGAGGAUGAUUAUUGAAAUAAGUACAUUCCAUGAGGCAAAAGAUUCUAUAGGCAGAAGUUAGUAUUUAAGAUCUUGUCCUUGAGUUUUUUGACUCACAGAUAUUUAUUUUAUUAUUAUUAAUGAAUUAAUAAAGUGAUCAGUAAACAAAUGUCGAUGAGAAUAAAGAAAAAGAGUCUAAGCUUGGACCAUUGAUGAUGACUGAUGGCAUAUGAGUCGUAUAUGAUGAAUACUGUGUGUCUGAAACUCUGAGGUCCAGCAAAAGAAAUCUAGUCCAUUUCCUCUGUUGGAAGUGUUCCUAUAGACAGAUGUCAGGAAUAUAUAGGGACCUUGUUUUAUUCUUUGUGGUUCACGAGUUUUUAAAAAUAUUAUUAUAAAAUGUUACUGGCUGAAUAAACAAGUAUAUAAGUGACUAAAGAUGAAGAGGGUUAAGUACUGUUCAUUACUUAAAUACAUAGUAAAGAGAAAUAAUAUAAGUUAGAAUGGAUAAUUAACAGAUCAAGUAUAUUAUGCAUUUUUGAGUAAGGAUGAUAUAGACAGUGAUACGUAAUAGUCAAUUAUUGAUCUGAGUCUAUUGCAAGCUUGAUGUUUGUUUUAUUAAGGAAAAAACAAAUAAAUAUUGCCAUAAAUUAAUAAAUACCUAAAUGACUAUGUAUAUGAAUGGUGGAAAGUAUGGAUCAAUGGAGAGAAUAUCAAACUUUUUAUCACCUGCUCUGCUUGGUACUAUUCAGGAUUGAUGCCCCAGCUGAUUUCAGCUUCUGCUGUGAUCAAGAUUGUCCUAUUGCCUCUGUAUUAGAAAGAGACAAAGAAUGGACCAGUCGAGCUGAUUGGAAAAUUCUCUCAUGGUCACAUUCUCUGGUUGUCUCCACGUCUUUGGUGUAUAGAGACCAAUAAAGAGGACCCUGAAGUCAGGAGCUCAUGGGAGCAUCUCUGUGUAGGAGCAUUAAGUCCAGUAAACGACACACCCAAGCUGAUUCAAGCAUUUUCUAUGGUUUCUUCUGUGUGUUAAGAGCCUAGAGAUGAAUAAUGGACGCAUGCUGGUGGGUUUAAGCAUCUUGCACGGUCCUGUGCUCUAUAGACCAAUAAUGGAUGCACCUGAAUUGGCUAAGCAUUGACCAUGAUCAGGAACUCUGCUGGUUGUCCUGUGUAUAAGUACAUGUGGUCCAUAAUGGAUCUUCCAAGCUGAUUAAGAUCGUCAUGUUGCUCCCGUGUCAGGAAAGAGACAAAGGCCUCAGAAUGGACACACUUGAGCUGAUUUAAGCAUCUUCCAUGGGUACCAGGUCUACGGUUGCACCCGUGUGUUAGGAGCAUGCAGACCAAUGUUUUCCCUACACAUUCCUUAAUUGAUAACGAUGUAAGCUAUUUUCAUUAUGAGGACGGAGCACAUAGGAUACAAUGAAUGAACUGAACUGAUGCAAGCCUUUUGCCCUGGCUGUGAAUUCUGUAUUAGGAGCAAAGAGACCAAUGUACGUGGGGAGUUUCUUGCCUUUUUGGAGGUCUGAGGUCUUCCACCAGCAUUCAGUAGGUGUUCUGUAGCAGUUGUUCCACGUGUAGAUGUAUUUCUGAUGUAUUUGUGGGGAGGAAGGUGAUCUCCACGUCUUACUCUUCCACCAUCUUGAAGCUCCUCU